GCCAGCGUGGUGUAGUGGUUUGAGCAUAGGACCAGGGCUCCAGAGAUUAGGGUUUGAGUCCCUGCUCAGCCG
Non-coding RNA from Phrynosoma platyrhinos (Desert horned lizard), 72 nucleotides. The record is from the annotation of a GenBank genome assembly. NCBI's taxonomy places the organism in Eukaryota, Metazoa, Chordata, Lepidosauria, Squamata, Phrynosomatidae.